RNAcentral lists this unclassified non-coding RNA (683 nucleotides) under Hevea brasiliensis (rubber tree). Lineage: Eukaryota; Viridiplantae; Streptophyta; Magnoliopsida; Malpighiales; Euphorbiaceae. The record is from RNAcentral.
CCGGUUAGUUUGAGAUACUGUAGAGUCACAUGGUCCACAGGAAAGAAACCCAUAGUGGCUCCAUACUCAGGAGACAUAUUAGCAAUUGUAGCCCUGUCUGCCAAUGACAACUCACCCAUACCCUCGCCGUAGAACUCCACGAACUUCCCAACAACGCCAUGCUUCCUCAACAUUUGGGUUACUGUUAACACCAGAUCAGUUGCUGUUACCCCAUUAUGUAACUUGCCAGAGAGCUUGAACCCCACAACACCAGGUAACACCAUACUCAUUGGCUGCCCAAGCAUUGUAGCCUCUGCCUCAAUACCUCCAACUCCCCAGCCGGCGACUCCUAGUCCAUCAAUCAUAGUGGUAUGGGAAUCAGUUCCAACAACACUAUCGGGGUACAAUAUACCAUCUGUGUUGAAAACAACUCGACCAAGAUAUUCAAGAUUAACCUGGUGAACAAUACCAGACCCUGGAGGAACAACGAGCAUAUUAUGGAAUGCUGUAGAUCCCCACUUAAGAAAAGCAAAUCUCUCUUUGUUCCUCUGAAAUUCAAAUUCCAUAUUUCUUUGCACUGCAUUUUCUGAUCUUGCCACAUCUACCUGCACCGAGUGGUCGAUCACAAGAUCUACAGGAACCAAUGGGUUAAUCUUGCUUGAAUCACUGCCCAGAUUGUUCAUAGCAUCUCGCAUGACAGCGAG